RNAcentral lists this unclassified non-coding RNA (213 nucleotides) under plant metagenome. RNAcentral describes it as "partial contains small subunit ribosomal RNA, internal transcribed spacer 1, and 5.8S ribosomal RNA". The record is from RNAcentral.
UCUCCGUAGGUGAACCUGCGGAGGGAUCACUACAGGCUCGUUAAGGCUCUGAAACCACUGUAUAUCUACCUGAAUCUGCUUCGGGAGUCAGCCCCAGAGCGGCGCCGUAGCCGCAAACCGCCCGCCAAAGACCCCUAUACUAUGUCGACUUGUGAUGCCCUAAGUACUUAUAGUAUACAAAAACAACUUUCAACAACGGAUCUCUUGGCUCUG